AGACUACUCGAAAGGAGGCUUCCUAGCAGCACUAGAGUGGGAUAAGUAAUCCUUGCCUUAGGUCAAUCCCUUCCCCUACUCAGGCAAGCAACAGACCCUUUUUAACAACCUCUUAUGAUUUAUUCACUUCCUCCAGCAUUAGCUUCCUUCUUACCUAUGAUAUCCCCAAGAGCUAAUUCGAUAGCAGUUGCAUCGGAGCUAGCUUGGAAAGAGAGGAGGCAUCCUUAUCUGAGCCGAUCGUUAGCCUAUUUCUUCUUCUCGAGUGAAGUAGCUUACUCUUGCUCUGUGCGCUAGGGAGACAGACUAUGCUUAGUACUCAUUUACUUUUGCGCUGUG
This 336-nucleotide long non-coding RNA is filed under the name Nicotiana benthamiana. RNAcentral describes it as "long non-coding RNA (NBEN_LNC007917)". Lineage: Eukaryota; Viridiplantae; Streptophyta; Magnoliopsida; Solanales; Solanaceae. The record is from RNAcentral.